AACGCACAUUGCGCCCCCUGGUAUUCCGGGGGGCAUGCCUGUUCGAGCGUCAUUUCAACCCUCAAGCUCUGCUUGGUAUUGAGCGCCCGCCCCCACGGGGCGCGCUCCAAAGACGUUGGCGGUGGCCCCGAGCCUCAAGCGUAAUAGAAACAUCUCGCUUAGAGGCUUCGACGGUUGCCCGCUUCGAGAACCCAACACUCUUAGGUUGACCUCGGAUCAGGUAGGGAUACCCGCUGAACUUAA
This 243-nucleotide unclassified non-coding RNA is filed under the name Cladophialophora sp. RNAcentral describes it as "partial contains 5.8S ribosomal RNA, internal transcribed spacer 2, and large subunit ribosomal RNA". The stretch from base 1 to 52 matches the Rfam family "5.8S ribosomal RNA", at positions 103 to 154 of the family's 154-position model. Lineage: Eukaryota; Fungi; Ascomycota; Eurotiomycetes; Chaetothyriales; Herpotrichiellaceae. RNAcentral also lists the same sequence under 1 other name. The record is from RNAcentral.